UCUAUGUUUCAUCCUCCCAAUUCUCACUCUUGGAGGAGACUUAGAAAUGGAGGUAUUACAUUUCAGAGAGGGAGACCAAAUGGAUAGAAAAUUAGGAAAAAGUGAUUCGAGUUCCGAGCUGGUACAUCAAUUUGGUGAUGAAAUUUCACAUUUAACUAUCGAAAUUGGAGGUAUAGAUUGUAUUACAAAGAAUUCAAUGAGAAUACAAAAAGGAUCUGUGAGCAAACUUCUCAAAGGUACGACACAGUGAUAUCCAUAGUCUUUCAGAUCGUUGGAUAUGAUUAAACUACGAAAAAUGAAGGGAUGACAAUGGAGUGGGGAUGGAGCGGGUUUAAAUCAUAUACGGGACGGAUUAGAAUAAUACUUUAGAAAUUUUAUGCGGAUGGUUGCGGAUUAC
This is a long non-coding RNA of Solanum dulcamara, 397 nucleotides long. RefSeq lists it as uncharacterized. The record is from RefSeq and is a predicted model, not a curated record. Lineage: Eukaryota; Viridiplantae; Streptophyta; Magnoliopsida; Solanales; Solanaceae. The transcript has 4 exons.